AUCGUCGGUAUGUGAUAGGGUACGCGAGUGCGCAUAUAUGGUGGCUGUUGACUUGAGUAAACAGCUCGUGAAAUGAAGGGCCGGUCAAAAUGGAGCCCCCCCCCUCGUCCCGCCGCUCCCCCGGUGGUUGUUUUUUUUAUUGUCUUUAAAGGUUCCGUGGCCGGCUUGUUCUGUCCUUAAGGAAAUCGGCUUACUCAGCUGUCAGGUUAUAGAGAGACUCUGCUUGAGGUGCGACCGGGGGAGGUGAGACUUACGCUGGGGGUGGGAAUAACAUCUUGCCUUCCCGGGGCGAAUCCUGUGAAGUAUGUGUCUCUAAAAAUGUUACAACCUGUGAGGAAAAAGGCUGGGGGCACCACUUUAUAUAAACCCCCGGUGCCUGCCGGCAAAAAUCAAUGUUCUUUAUUGUUUCUGUCCCCCCGCCCCCUGCGUGGGCGGGCAAACCCCAUAGCUUUGCCCCCGGGGG
This 463-nucleotide ribosomal RNA is filed under the name uncultured archaeon. Its description in RNAcentral is "partial 16S ribosomal RNA". The record is from RNAcentral.